This 502-nucleotide ribosomal RNA is filed under the name uncultured bacterium. Its description in RNAcentral is "partial 16S ribosomal RNA". It matches the Rfam family "Bacterial small subunit ribosomal RNA", at positions 30 to 523 of the family's 1533-position model. The record is from RNAcentral.
AUUGAACGCUGGCGGCAUGCCUUACACAUGCAAGUCGAACGGCAGCAUAGGAGCUUGCUCCUGAUGGCGAGUGGCGAACGGGUGAGUAAUAUAUCGGAACGUGCCCUAGAGUGGGGGAUAACUAGUCGAAAGACUAGCUAAUACCGCAUACGAUCUACGGAUGAAAGUGGGGGAUCGCAAGACCUCAUGCUCCUGGAGCGGCUGAUAUCUGAUUAGCUAGUUGGUGGGGUAAAAGCUCACCAAGGCGACGAUCAGUAGCUGGUCUGAGAGGACGACCAGCCACACUGGGACUGAGACACGGCCCAGACUCCUACGGGAGGCAGCAGUGGGGAAUUUUGGACAAUGGGGGCAACCCUGAUCCAGCAAUGCCGCGUGAGUGAAGAAGGCCUUCGGGUUGUAAAGCUCUUUUGUCAGGGAAGAAACGGUUCUGGAUAAUACCUGGGACUAAUGACGGUAUCUGAAGAAUAAGCACCGGCUAACUACGUGCCAGCCGCCGCCGUAA